UUCGGAGGCUGACGAGUGGCGGACGGGUGAGUAACGCGUAGGAAUCUGCCUGUUAGUGGGGGACAACUUAGGGAAACUUAAGCUAAUACCGCAUACGCCCUACGGGGGAAAGGAGGGGAUCUUCGGACCUUUCGCUAACAGAUGAGCCUGCGUAGGAUUAGCUAGUUGGUAGGGUAAAAGCCUACCAAGGCGACGAUCCUUAGCUGUUCUGAGAGGAAGAUCAGCCACACUGGGACUGAGACACGGCCCAGACUCCUACGGGAGGCAGCAGUGGGGAAUAUUGGACAAUGGGCGAAAGCCUGAUCCAGCAAUACCGCGUGUGUGAAGAAGGCCUUAGGGUUGUAAAGCACUUUCAAUUGGAAGGAAAAAACCAAGGGUCAAUACCCCUCGGUCUUGACAUUACCUUUAGAAGAAGCACCGGCUAACUCCGUG
This 432-nucleotide ribosomal RNA is filed under the name uncultured bacterium. RNAcentral describes it as "bacterial SSU rRNA". It matches the Rfam family "Bacterial small subunit ribosomal RNA", at positions 79 to 507 of the family's 1533-position model. The record is from RNAcentral.